This 24-nucleotide microRNA is filed under the name Ananas comosus (pineapple). RNAcentral's name for it is "microRNA s1549_c089b". The record is from RNAcentral. Lineage: Eukaryota; Viridiplantae; Streptophyta; Magnoliopsida; Poales; Bromeliaceae.
AUCCCGGCCAAAUUUCAUCCCGUU